Molecule: ribosomal RNA, 253 nt
Filed under: uncultured bacterium
Lineage: Bacteria
Description: partial 16S ribosomal RNA
Rfam family: Bacterial small subunit ribosomal RNA
Source: RNAcentral
UACGUAGGGUGCAAGCGUUAAUCGGAAUUACUGGGCGUAAAGCGUGCGCAGGCGGUUUUGUAAGACAGAUGUGAAAUGCCCGGGCUUAACCUGGGAACUGCAUUUGUGACUGCAAGGCUAGAGUGUGUCAGAGGGGGGUAGAAUUCCACGUGUAGCAGUGAAAUGCGUAGAUAUGUGGAGGAAUACCGAUGGCGAAGGCAGCCCCCUGGGAUAACACUGACGCUCAUGCACGAAAGCGUGGGGAGCAAACAGG